GGAUUGUAGCUCGGUGGUAGAGUGCGUGCCUAGCAUGUGGGAGACCCUGGGUUUGAUCCUCAGCACCA
This 68-nucleotide transfer RNA is filed under the name Marmota monax (woodchuck). RNAcentral's name for it is "tRNA.Ala". Lineage: Eukaryota; Metazoa; Chordata; Mammalia; Rodentia; Sciuridae. The record is from RNAcentral.